Molecule: transfer RNA, 1239 nt
Filed under: Macaca fascicularis (crab-eating macaque)
Lineage: Eukaryota; Metazoa; Chordata; Mammalia; Primates; Cercopithecidae
Description: lncRNA (ENSMFAG00000050236.1)
Rfam family: tRNA (bases 819-890)
Source: RNAcentral
AAAGUGCUGGGAUUACAGUAGUGAGCCACCAUGUCUGGUCGACGAAUUUUUUUAUUUUUAUUUUUAUUUUUUUGUAGGAACGAGGUCUCACUAUGUUGCCCAGGCUGGUCUCAAACUCAAACCUGUAAUCCCAGCACUUUGAGAGGCCGAGGUGGAUGGAUCACUUAAGGUCAGGAGUACAAGACCAGCCUGGCCAUGGUGGUGAGACCCUGUCUCUACUAAAAUUACAAAAAUUAGCCGGGUAUGGUGGCACACUCCUGUACUCUCACCUACUCGGGAGGCUGAGGCAGGAGAAUUGCUUGAACCCAGGAGGCAGAGGUUGCGGUGAGCCGAGAUUGUGCCACUGCACUCCAGCCUGGGCAACAAGAAUGAAACUGUGUCUCAAAAAAAAAAAAAAAAUCUAUGAAGCCCAGUAAUAAGCCCUUGAUAAGCCCUUGAUUUGUCAUUCAGAUUGUAUUUUCUUUGGAUCAUCUUUUGCCGUUUUAAAAACUUGGGUGAAAUCUGUUCAUUUCCUUUGUGAUUUCUGACAUCACUAUUCUGCCUGGAAAUCCUUUUACCCUAGUAAUAGGCAUAUGCACCUGUAUUUCAUAUCAGCACGACAUUUAAACCACCAGCUCAUGACCUCAGGGGGUCACCUUGUUGGUUUAUCCAGCAGGAGUAAAGCCUACCUCGGAAAUCUGAGGGUGGCCGCGAACCCAAAAGUCCAGAUUCGCAGGUGCGCGCGCUAAGGACUGAGCUAUUGGGGCGAUGGAAAGAGUCUCUCUCUGCGGCAAGGGCGGAAGGACAUGUUAAAAAAAAAAAAAAAAAAAUUAAAGCGCGGUUCGUUGGUCUAGGGGUAUGAUUCUCGCUUUGGGUGCGAGAGGUCCCUGGUUCAAAUCCCAGACGAGCCCUUUUUCCUUCUCUUUUUUCCCCUUUCGCAUUUUCAGCAAGGACGGGAGACUAGGAAGGCGAAGGGAGGCUGCUGUUGGCAGAGCCUCAGUGGGGACCUCCCGGGGUCCCGGGACGCAGACGGACGGGCCUGAAUCUCUCUCCUUGCAGUCGGUCCGUCACCCUGAAAUGGGAUCCAGCGCUGCCAACUGCGGGUUCGAGAGUAUGGCGGCUCCAGUCCCAGGUGAGCCCUACCAAGGUUUAAAAUUGCAUGGUAUUGCGGGGAGUAAUAUGUGUGGCGGGGGACAGUGGGAGGGGAGUGAGGGAGAGACGGAGGGGCGAAGGCCCGGGCAUCCUCCGGCAGCACUUUAG